This 506-nucleotide ribosomal RNA is filed under the name uncultured bacterium. RNAcentral's name for it is "partial 16S ribosomal RNA". It matches the Rfam family "Bacterial small subunit ribosomal RNA", at positions 29 to 523 of the family's 1533-position model. The record is from RNAcentral.
AGUGAACGCUGGCGGUAGGCCUAACACAUGCAAGUCGAACGGCAGCACAGAGGAGCUUGCUCCUUGGGUGGCGAGUGGCGGACGGGUGAGGAAUACAUCGGAAUCUACUCUGUCGUGGGGGAUAACGUAGGGAAACUUACGCUAAUACCGCAUACGACCUACGGGUGAAAGCAGGGGAUCUUCGGACCUUGCGCGAUUGAAUGAGCCGAUGUCGGAUUAGCUAGUUGGCGGGGUAAAGGCACACCAAGGCGACGAUCCGUAGCUGGUCUGAGGGGAUGAUCAGCCACACUGGAACUGAGACACGGUCCAGACUCCUACGGGAGGCAGCAGUGGGGAAUAUUGGACAAUGGGCGCAAGCCUGAUCCAGCCAUACCGCGUGGGUGAAGAAGGCCUUCGGGUUGUAAAGCCCUUUUGUUGGGAAAGAAAUCCAUCUGGUUAAUACCCGGGUGGGAUGACGGUACCCAAAGGAUAAGCACCGGCUAACUUCGUGCCAGCCGCCGCCGUAA